This 460-nucleotide ribosomal RNA is filed under the name uncultured bacterium. Its description in RNAcentral is "partial 16S ribosomal RNA". It matches the Rfam family "Bacterial small subunit ribosomal RNA", at positions 338 to 795 of the family's 1533-position model. The record is from RNAcentral.
CCUACGGGUGGCAGCAGUGAGGAAUAUUGGUCAAUGGGCGGGAGCCUGAACCAGCCAAGUCGCGUGAGGGAAGACGGUCCUAUGGAUUGUAAACCUCUUUAGGCGGGGAGCAAUGCCGGGCACGCGUGUCCGGAGGGAGAGUACCCGCAGAAUAAGCAUCGGCUAACUCCGUGCCAGCAGCCGCGGUAAUACGGAGGAUGCGAGCGUUAUCCGGAGUUAUUGGUUUUAAAGGGUGCGUAGGCGUGUUUUUAAGUCAGCGGUAAAAUGUCCGGGCUCAAACCGGGCCGGCCGUUGAAACUGGGGAUCUUGAGUGGGCGAGAGGUAUGCGGAAUGCGUGGUGUAGCGGUGAAAUGCUUAGAGAUCACGAAGAACCCCGAUUGCGAAGGCAGCUUACUAAACUGUGACUGACAUUGAUGCUCGAAAGUGUGGGUAUCAAACAGGAUUAGAUACCCCAGUAGUC